This 346-nucleotide ribosomal RNA is filed under the name uncultured bacterium. Its description in RNAcentral is "bacterial SSU rRNA". It matches the Rfam family "Bacterial small subunit ribosomal RNA", at positions 917 to 1264 of the family's 1533-position model. The record is from RNAcentral.
GGGCCCGCACAAGCGGUGGAGCAUGUGGUUUAAUUCGAUGAUACGCGAGGAACCUUACCAGGGCUUAAAUGUAGUAUGACCGGUCUAGAAAUAGGCCUUCUCUUCGGAGCAGAUUACAAGGUGCUGCAUGGUUGUCGUCAGCUCGUGCCGUGAGGUGUUAGGUUAAGUCCUGCAACGAGCGCAACCCCUAUUCUUAGUUGCCAGCGGUUCGGCCGGGGACUCUAAGAAGACUGCCAGCGCAAGCUGAGAGGAAGGUGGGGAUGACGUCAAAUCAUCACGGCCCUUACGUCCUGGGCUACACACGUGCUACAAUGGUACAGACAGAGGGCAGCCACCUGGCGACAGG